Molecule: small nucleolar RNA, 129 nt
Organism: Nannospalax galili (Upper Galilee mountains blind mole rat)
Lineage: Eukaryota; Metazoa; Chordata; Mammalia; Rodentia; Spalacidae
Source: Ensembl
ACCCAUCUGUUCCCUUUCCCAUCUGAUCUCAACACAGGUCUUGGUGGUCGUAAAGGAGAAAGAGCAUACUGAAGCUGGCCUAACAGCCUUGUGGUCUGGUAUAAGCAUAUGCGUUAGAUUCAAACAGGG